Molecule: ribosomal RNA, 492 nt
Filed under: uncultured bacterium
Lineage: Bacteria
Description: partial 16S ribosomal RNA
Rfam family: Bacterial small subunit ribosomal RNA
Source: RNAcentral
AGUGAACGCUGGCGGUAGGCCUAACACAUGCAAGUCGAACGGCAGCACAGUAAGAGCUUGCUCUUACGGGUGGUGAGUGGCGGACGGGUGAGGAAUACAUCGGAAUCUACUUUUUCGGGGGGGAUAACGGGGGGAAACUUACGCUAAUACCGCAUACGACCUACGGGUGAAAGCAGGGGAUCUUCGGACCUUGCGCGAUUGAAUGAGCCGAUGUCGGAUUAGCUAGUUGGCGGGGUAAAGGCCCACCAAGGCGACGAUCCGUAGCUGGUCUGAGAGGAUGAUCAGCCACACUGGAACUGAGACACGGUCCAGACUCCUACGGGAGGCAGCAGUGGGGAAUAUUGGACAAUGGGCGCAAGCCUGAUCCAGCCAUACCGCGUGGGUGAUGAAGGCCUUCGGGUUGUAAAGCCCUUUUGUUGGGAAAGAAAAGCAGCAGGUGAAUCCCCCCCUGUUCUGACGGUACCCAAAGAAUAAGCCCCGGCUAACUUCGUG